AGACCAUGAUGAGGGUAUUUCCUCAAUAGCUUCUUGAAUCUUUCCUAAGUUUCAUAUAAGGAUUCCCCGUCCUCUUGUGAAUAUGUAUUUAUUUCUGUCAUU
This 102-nucleotide small nucleolar RNA is filed under the name Helianthus annuus (common sunflower). RNAcentral's name for it is "sRNA HanXRQr2_Chr12g0559241". It matches the Rfam family "Plant small nucleolar RNA R71". Rfam says of the family: R71 is a member of the C/D box family of snoRNAs containing the C (UGAUGA) and D (CUGA) box motifs. Multiple nearly identical copies of this snoRNA have been identified in Arabidopsis, and it is thought to function as a 2'-O-ribose methylation guide for 18S ribosomal RNA. Lineage: Eukaryota; Viridiplantae; Streptophyta; Magnoliopsida; Asterales; Asteraceae. The record is from Rfam by way of RNAcentral.